CCUACGGGGGGCAGCAGUGAGGAAUAUUGGUCAAUGGACGCAAGUCUGAACCAGCCAUGCCGCGUGCAGGAUGACGGCUCUAUGAGUUGUAAACUGCUUUUGUACGAGGGUAAACCCCGAUACGUGUAUCGUGUUGAAAGUAUCGUACGAAUACGGAUCGGCUAACUCCGUGCCAGCAGCCGCGGUAAUACGGAGGAUCCGAGCGUUAUCCGGAUUUAUUGGGUUUAAAGGGUGCGUCGGCGGUUUGAUAAGUUAGAGGUGAAAUGUCGGGGCUCAACCCCGAAACUGCCUCUAAUACUGUUGGACUAGAGAAUAGUUGCGGUAGGCGGAAUGUAUGGUGUAGCGGUGAAAUGCUUAGAGAUCAUACAGAACACCGAUUGCGAAGGCAGCUUACCAAACUAUAUCUGACGUUGAGGCACGAAAGCGUGGGUAGCAAACAGGAUUAGAUACCCCUGUAGUC
Molecule: ribosomal RNA, 460 nt
Filed under: uncultured bacterium
Lineage: Bacteria
Description: partial 16S ribosomal RNA
Rfam family: Bacterial small subunit ribosomal RNA
Source: RNAcentral